AGAAGAAAAUCAUAUUUCUGGGUACCAGGCCAAUAGAAACGAAAGAGGAAAUCAGAGAUGGAUGCUUCUGAUAGGACUCUGAGUUACUUCCUGCAGCUCCCUUUUCUCCUUGAGAUAAAAAAAGAAGCCAGACCUCUCACCUUGCAAAAGCUUCGAUGUACUUGAAACAACCAUUUUGAAUACGGAAAGGGGCCGCAGCCUCGUUCCAGCA
Molecule: long non-coding RNA, 211 nt
Filed under: Sus scrofa (pig)
Lineage: Eukaryota; Metazoa; Chordata; Mammalia; Artiodactyla; Suidae
Description: lncRNA (ENSSSCG00040018258.1, ENSSSCG00060061994.1)
Source: RNAcentral